Molecule: ribosomal RNA, 482 nt
Filed under: uncultured bacterium
Lineage: Bacteria
Description: SSU rRNA
Rfam family: Bacterial small subunit ribosomal RNA
Source: RNAcentral
AGGAUGAACGCUAGCGGCAGGCCUAAUACAUGCAAGGCGAGGGGGCAGCAAUGUCACCGUCGUACGGGUGCGUAACGCGUAUGCAACCUACCUUCAACUGGGGGACAGCCCGGGGAAACCCGGAUUAAUACCGCAUAACACACGGGGCCGGCAUCGGUUCCUUUGUUAAAGAUUUAUUGGUUGAAGAUGGGCAUGCGUCCGAUUAGCUAGUUGGCGGGGUAACGGCCCACCAAGGCUACGAUCGGUAGGGGGGCCGGGAGGUCGAUCCCCCACACGGGCACUGAGACACGGGCCCGACUCCUACGGGAGGCAGCAGUAGGGAAUAUUGGGCAAUGGAUGCAAGUCUGACCCAGCCAUGCCGCGUGCCGGAUGAAGGCCCUCUGGGUCGUAAACGGCUUUUAGUACGGGAAGAACCCCGCCAUGCGUGGGCGGCUGACGGUACCGUAAGAAUAAGCACCGGCUAACUCCGUGCCAGCAGCCGC